RNAcentral lists this small RNA (83 nucleotides) under Marmota monax (woodchuck). Lineage: Eukaryota; Metazoa; Chordata; Mammalia; Rodentia; Sciuridae. The record is from RNAcentral.
GCUGGGCGUGGUGGCCCACGUCUGAAGUCCCAGCAGCUGGGGAGGCUGAGGCAGGAGGAUGGAGAGUUCAAAGCCAGCCUCAG